AUACAGCUGACGAGUCCCAAAUAGGACGAAAUGCGCGUUGUCCUGGAU
RNAcentral lists this non-coding RNA (48 nucleotides) under Trichobilharzia regenti. Lineage: Eukaryota; Metazoa; Platyhelminthes; Trematoda; Strigeidida; Schistosomatidae. The record is from RNAcentral.